CGAACGAACCUUCGGGUUAGUGGCGGACGGGUGAGUAACGCGUGAGAAUCUGCCCUCAGGAGGGGGAUAACGGUUGGAAACGACCGCUAAUACCCCAUAUGCCGAUAGGUGAAAUGAAUUUCGCCUGAGGAUGAGCUCGCGUCUGAUUAGCUUGUUGGUGAGGUAAUGGCUCACUAAGGCUUCGAUCAGUAGCUGGUCUGAGAGGAUGAUCAGCCACACUGGGACUGAGACACGGCCCAGACUCCUACGGGAGGCAGCAGUGGGGAAUUUUCCGCAAUGGGCGAAAGCCUGACGGAGCAACGCCGCGUGAGGGACGGAGGCCUCUGGGCUGUAAACCUCUUUUCUCAAGGAAGAAGAUAUGACGGUACUUGAGGAAUAAGCCACGGCUAAUUCCGUGCCAGCAGCCGCGGUAAUACGGGAGUGGCAAGCGUUAUCCGGAAUUAUUGGGCGUAAAGCGUCCGCAGGCGGCCUUUCAAGUCUGCUGUUAAAGCGUGGAGCUCAACUCCAUUAUGGCAGUGGAAACUGAUCGGCUUGAGUAUGGUAGGGGCAGAGGGAAUUCCCGGUGUAGCGGUGAAAAUGCGUAGAUAUCGGUAAGAACACCAGUGGCGAAGGCGCUCUGCUGGGCCAUUACUGACGCUCAUGGACGAAAGCCAGGGGAGCGAAAGGGAUUAGAUACCCCUGUAGUCCUGGCCGUAAACGAUGAACACUAGGUGUCGGGGGAAUCGACCCCUUCNGGUGUCGUAGCUAACGCGUUAAGUGUUCCGCCUGGGGAGUACGCACGCAAGUGUGAAACUCAAAGGAAUUGACGGGGGCCCGCACAAGCGGUGGAGUAUGUGGUUUAAUUCGAUGCAACGCGAAGAACCUUACCAGGGUUUGACAUCCUGAGAACCUCUUAGAAAUUUGAGGGUGCCUUCGGGAAUUCAGCGACAGGUGGUGCAUGGCUGUCGUCAGCUCGUGUCGUGAGAUGUUGGGUUAAGUCCCGCAACGAGCGCAACCCACGUUUUUAGUUGCCAGCAUUUAGUUGGGCACUCUAGAAAGACCGCCGGUGAUAAACCGGAGGAAGGUGUGGAUGACGUCAAGUCAUCAUGCCCCUUACACCCUGGGCUACACACGUACUACAAUGCUACGGACAAAGGGCAGCAAACUCGCGAGAGCUAGCAAAUCCCAUAAACCGUGGCUCAGUUCAGAUCGUAGGCUGCAACUCGCCUACGUGAAGUAGGAAUCGCUAGUAAUCGCAGGUCAGCAUACUGCGGUGAAUACGUUCCCGGGCCUUGCACACACCGCCCGUC
This 1289-nucleotide ribosomal RNA is filed under the name uncultured bacterium. RNAcentral's name for it is "bacterial SSU rRNA". It matches the Rfam family "Bacterial small subunit ribosomal RNA", at positions 63 to 1398 of the family's 1533-position model. The record is from RNAcentral.